This 330-nucleotide unclassified non-coding RNA is filed under the name soil metagenome. Its description in RNAcentral is "partial contains 5.8S ribosomal RNA, internal transcribed spacer 2, and large subunit ribosomal RNA". The stretch from base 1 to 120 matches the Rfam family "5.8S ribosomal RNA", at positions 35 to 154 of the family's 154-position model. The record is from RNAcentral.
GAUGAAGAACGCAGUGAAAUGCGAUAAGUAAUGUGAAUUGCAGAAUUCAGUGAAUCAUCGAAUCUUUGAACGCACAUUGCGCCCCCUGGUAUUCCGGGGGGCAUGCCUGUUCGAGCGUCAUUUCACCACUCAAGCCUCGCUUGGUAUUGGGCAACGCGGUCCGCCGCGUGCCUCAAAUCGACCGGCUGGGUCUUCUGUCCCCUAAGCGUUGUGGAAACUAUUCGCUAAAGGGUGUUCGGGAGGCUACGCCGUAAAACAACCCCAUUUCUAAGGUUGACCUCGGAUCAGGUAGGGAUACCCGCUGAACUUAAGCAUAUCAAUAAGCGGAGG